RNAcentral lists this ribosomal RNA (497 nucleotides) under uncultured bacterium. Its description in RNAcentral is "partial 16S ribosomal RNA". It matches the Rfam family "Bacterial small subunit ribosomal RNA", at positions 28 to 507 of the family's 1533-position model. The record is from RNAcentral.
GAUGAACGCUGGCGGCGUGCCUAAUACAUGCAAGUCGAGCGAACGGACGAGAAGCUUGCUUCUCUGAUGUUAGCGGCGGACGAGUGAGUAACACGUGGAUAACCUACCUAUAAGACUGGGAUAACUUCGGGAAACCGUAGCUAAUACCGGAUAAUAUUUUGAACCGCAUGGUUCAAAAGUGAAAGACGGUCUUGCUGUCACUUAUAGAUGGAUCCGCGCUGCAUUAGCUAGUUGGCAAGGUAACGGCUUACCAAGGCAACGAUGCAUAGCCGACCUGAGAGGGUGAUCGGCCACACUGGAACUGAGACACGGUCCAGACUCCUACGGGAGGCAGCAGUAGGGAAUCUUCCGCAAUGGGCGAAAGCCUGACGGAGCAACGCCGCGUGAGUGAUGAAGGUCUUCGGAUCGUAAAACUCUGUUAUUAGGGAAGAACAUAUGUGUAAGUAACUGUGCACAUCUUGACGGUACCUAAUCAGAAAGCCACGGCUAACUACGUG